RNAcentral lists this non-coding RNA (29 nucleotides) under Mus musculus (house mouse). Lineage: Eukaryota; Metazoa; Chordata; Mammalia; Rodentia; Muridae. The record is from RNAcentral.
UCAGUUUAACAAGUGUAUCCCAAGGGUGU